This 500-nucleotide ribosomal RNA is filed under the name uncultured bacterium. Its description in RNAcentral is "partial 16S ribosomal RNA". It matches the Rfam family "Bacterial small subunit ribosomal RNA", at positions 29 to 523 of the family's 1533-position model. The record is from RNAcentral.
AUUGAACGCUGGCGGCAUGCCUUACACAUGCAAGUCGAACGGCAGCACGGGUGCUUGCACCUGGUGGCGAGUGGCGAACGGGUGAGUAAUACAUCGGAACGUACCUUAUCGUGGGGAUAACGCAGCGAAAGCUGUGCUAAUACCGCAUACGCCCUGAGGGGGAAAGCGGGGGAUCGCAAGACCUCGCGCGAUUAGAGCGGCCGAUGCCUGAUUAGCUAGUUGGUGGGGUAAAAGCCCACCAAGGCGACGAUCAGUAGCUGGUCUGAGAGGACGAUCAGCCAGACUGGGACUGAGACACGGCCCAGACUCCUACGGGAGGCAGCAGUGGGGAAUUUUGGACAAUGGGGGCAACCCUGAUCCAGCAAUGCCGCGUGAGUGAAGAAGGCCUUCGGGUUGUAAAGCUCUUUUGUCAGGGAAGAAACACCGGCUCUAACACAGUCCGGGAAUGACGGUACCUGAAGAAUAAGCACCGGCUAACUACGUGCCAGCCGCCGCAGUAA